Molecule: non-coding RNA, 100 nt
Organism: Periconia macrospinosa
Lineage: Eukaryota; Fungi; Ascomycota; Dothideomycetes; Pleosporales; Periconiaceae
Source: the annotation of a GenBank genome assembly
GUCGGUUUGGCCGAGUGGUCUAAGGCGGUAGAUUUAAGUAGUAUCUCUAGUUAAAUCUCUACUGGGGAAACCCGCGUGAGUUCGAACCUCACAGCCGACA